CCUACGGGAGGCUGCAGUGAGGAAUAUUGGUCAAUGGGCGUAAGCCUGAACCAGCCAAGUCGCGUGAGGGAUGAAGGUUCUAUGGAUCGUAAACCUCUUUUAUAAGGGAAUAAAGAGCGGGACGUGUCCCGUUUUGUAUGUACCUUAUGAAUAAGCAUCGGCUAACUCCGUGCCAGCAGCCGCGGUAAUACGGAGGAUCCGAGCGUUAUCCGGAUUUAUUGGGUUUAAAGGGUGCGUAGGCGGCCUUUUAAGUCAGCGGUGAAAGUCUGUGGCUCAACCAUAGAACUGCCGUUGAAACUGGGAGGCUUGAGUAGGUUGGAGGUAUGCGGAAUGCGUGGUGUAGCGGUGAAAUGCAUAGAUAUCACGCAGAACCCCGAUUGCGAAGGCAGCAUGCCAAGCCAUGACUGACGCUGAGGCACGAAAGCGUGGGUAUCGAACAGGAUUAGAUACCCGUGUAGUC
RNAcentral lists this ribosomal RNA (460 nucleotides) under uncultured bacterium. RNAcentral describes it as "partial 16S ribosomal RNA". It matches the Rfam family "Bacterial small subunit ribosomal RNA", at positions 338 to 795 of the family's 1533-position model. The record is from RNAcentral.